AGUUAUCAUAGCCCAUCCAUCUCCGAGCAUCAUGAGUACUAGCAAUUAACUCUUUCUCGGAUAAGUAUUCAGAGCUUCCAUAAAAUUGACAAUUAUAGAAUCUGAGCAAUCUUAAUUUGUUCAUCUUUGCAAAGGCAUCAACACUGAGGUUUAGCUCUUUUGAUGCAGACAAGUCAAAGACCAUGCCUUCAACUGCUUCAGUCCCCUAAAGUUAACCAAGACCAGAGCAUGAGAUAGAAGUAAGAAUGAAAAAAUAGGGAAGAAAACAAGAAAAAAGAAAGUCCAGAAAACAACUUAAUGACCUUUUUUGCCUUUACAUUUUUUUUUUCAAUUUUUAAGUGUUAUUGUAGGAAUGAAGUUUGAACACAAGAAAACACAUCUUUUAAGGUGGCAACUCUUAUUUGUUAGUAAAAUUGUAAAGAUUUAUGAGUUUUCAAAAUAGAUGGAAUAGUAUUCUUCGAACUUAGUCUUCAACUAGAGCUUGUACACACGCCAAAAAAGAAAGUUGAUGCAUUGGGGUCUUACCUUAUUUGUUGUUAAUACAUCAUGGAUGUCCUCAUGAACCCGCAAUCUGCUGCGUUUGCCAGGGUCUUUAAUAGAUUCUUGUCGAACAAUUUCCCAACCCAUUUCUUGUAGUAAAUCAUGCAUGUACAACUUAUUAUCUGAAAUAGUUAUGAGUGAUUUAUCGACAAGAUUUCCUAUUUCACUCACUGGGAAGAAAUUAUCUAGUACUUCUAUAACAAAAUCUUUGUCCUCCCCUUUAUAGAAGAAUGCAAUAUCAAGAAACAUAUUCUUUUCAUUAUCAUCUAAUCCAUCAAAACUUGUUUUGAGCACAUUUAGAACUUCCUUAUUUGGGAAUUGAUUGAAUUUGUCCAAUUCACUCUUCCAUUCAUGUAUGCUUUUUCUAUAUAGACAAGAACCCAAGACUUUAAGGGCUAAGGGAAGACUUCCAGUAUAAUCUACUGCAUGGUGGCACAAUUGCAUAAAAUCUUCAGUAGGAUGCUUAUAUCUAAAGGCAUAUUGACAAAAGAGCUUAAGAGCUUCAUCAUACUCUAAUUUCUCAACUUCAUAUAUUGCAUCCAUUUCUUGCUCAAUUAGCAAACGCUUUUCUCUAGUAGUUAUGAUGAUUCGACUUCCUGGACCAAACCAAUCAUGACUUCCUACUAAAGCCUCCAACUCUUGCCGGUGCACCACAUUGUCAAGAACAAUUAGGACCUUCUUAGAGUGGAGUCUUGCUUUUAUAAAAUUGAUUCCUCUAUUGAGAUUGUUGAUUCCCCCUAAAACUCGUGAAAGGAGUGUUUCUUGUAAAUAAGUUAGACCAUGUCUUUGUGAGUCUUCUCUAACAUCUUUAAGAAAGCAGCAACCAUCAAAUUUAGUGUAGAUUCGGUCAUAAAUAGCUUCAGCAAUGGUAGUCUUACCUAUGCCAGCCAUGCCCCAAAUUCCAACAAACCGAACAUCAUUAGACCCAAUACAUAACAGUGAAAGCAGGUCCUCCAUACGAGAGUCCAUUCCAACUAGAGCAUCCACGUUGCUUGAGAAUGCAUCAAUCGGCUCAUUCAAAAUCCUGGUAACAAUUUCCUCAAUAACCUCGGAUUCAUCUCUGCAAAUUUCAAAUUGAGAAAAAUCGCAUGGUCAUUUUUUAAGCCAAAAAGGAACAAAGAAAAAUGAGAUAAACAUAUAUAGCAGUACUUUGCUUUGUUCUUUAUGACUGAAAAGAGAGGGCAAACUAUAUGUAAGUUGACAAGAUGAAGCUAAAAUUGAUCAAAUAAUUGUUAAUCCCAUAUUCAUGUUGUUAUGGCGAGAACAUAUAGCAGCCAAUAAAAGAAGAGAUAUGGGGUAGGAAUACUAUUAGUCAGUCUAGCACCAGAACAUGGGAAAAACUCCUUUAGCUUUUGGAGUUUUGUGAAGUCAUUUUUCUUCUUGAAAUCAUUUUUCUCAUAACUUCCCCAUAUACUAAGCUGCAGCCACAGGUGUGUAUUUUUAAAAAAAAAAAAAAAAAAUCCAAAUCGGUCAAUGGUCAAAAGCUUCUUCCACCCAUGAAGCUUCCAAGAAUUUUCCUUCAUUAAACUUCCUUUUAUAUUAAAUUUUUAAAAUUUUUGACACGUCUCCACCUUCACCAUGCCCCCACCAUAAAGAGGACCACCUCAAUUUCGACUUAGACACUGACUUAGCUGUGAAAAUUUGGGUCCCCAAGUGGAAAAGUAAAAUGAUCAAGGCUUGCUCACCAGCUGUAAGCUGCUGAUUACUGAUUGGUAACAGGAAACUUCAGACCAUGUUCGGCAACAGGGACUGAAAACGCCAAAUCCAUUUAUUUUUCAUUCAAUUGUUUAUUAGAUACGAGUAUAAAAUAAAUAAAAAAAUAAAUCAUUCUUAUUCAAAUAAUCAUAUCUUUUUAUUAAAUUUCAAUAAAAAAAUUAAUUUUUUUUUUUUAAAUUCAUAUGGUGUUGUGAUUAAUCUCGAACCCUAUUUCUAUCCUCAUUCUUAUUUUGUAAAAUUAAAUAAAAAUUUGUCUUAGAUUCAUCUCUGUGAAAUUCAAAUUGAGAACAAUCACAUGGUCAUUUUCUAAAUCCAUUAAGGGACAAAGAAAAAUAGACAAACAUAGCAGCACUUAGAUUUGUUCUUUGCAACUGAAAAGAGAGGGCAAACUAAAUCUAACCUGACAAGAUGAAGCUAAAAUUGAUCACAUUGUUAAUCCCAUACUCAUUUUGUCACGGUGAGAAAACAUAGUAGCCAAUAAAAGAAGAGAUAUGGGGUUAGGACUACUAUUAUUGAGUCUAGCCUACUCCCAAUUGAGCAGGAUGCAUAAAGAACAUCUUAGAAAGAAGGUUAGGAAUACUAGGAAACCUAAUGAAUGCAUUUUAUAAUGGUGGGACUGCAUUUUAUGAUAGUUAGAAAGAAUUACCUGUCUCGUGAAUCCCAUCCAGAAAUUGUAGCUACUUCAGUUAAAGCUUUUCUCCACUUGACCACUUUCUCCAUCUUCUCCCUGUAUACUUGUUCAUGCUCUGCAAAUGCGUCCGCAAAACACCCUUUUUGUUUUCUUACAUGGGAGGGAUCCACGUUAUAGAAAACCGGUAGAGCUGUAUGUCCCCCCUCUUCGACACACUCAAGAAUCUUUGUAAGUUCAUCCAAACACCAACUUGAAGAAGCAUAGUUUUCGGAAAAAAUGAUGAUGGAAAACCUCGAUUCUUCAAUUGCUUGUAGGAGUCCUGCAGAUAUUUUUUCGCCUCUCAGGAGUAGGUUAUCUUUGAAGGUGUUGAUUCCCUUCUGACAAAGGGCCGCGUGGAGAUGGGUAGUAAAGUUUUUGCGGGUAUCUUCACCUCUGAAACUAAGGAAGGCAUCAUACUUCCAUCGAUGAGUGGAAGAGGAUGAAGGUAGUGUGAGACUGCUGGUUGAAGAAGAAGCCAUUGCAAAAUUGGAAGAAGAAGGCUUGGAAGACUGGUAGCUUGACUCUGAGAAUUGUAACUUGAGAGAUUGGCAAAGGGUGUGGAUGAAGACCAAACUAAGGCGAGAUGUAUACGGCUUCACAUGAGAACCACAAAUAAAUAAAUAAAUAAAUAAACUAACAAACAUCAAAAUUUUCUUGUCUCUUUUUCACGCGAUAGAAUUCUUUUAUCUGUAAGAUAAAAACAAGGUGAAAUAGUAAAUAGGAAAACGGAAACUGGGAGACACGAGACAGAAAGAUAGGAAUGACAUAAAAAAAUUAUUUACUUAUUUACAGUAGCAUUGAUCCCAAUUCUUAGAAAUUUAUUUAUUUAUUUAAUUUUUUUUCAUCUUGAUAUUAAUUCUUACAAAUUAAACAUUAAAAAUACAAUUAAGACCAGUAAAUAAUAAGGGAUAUACAAUGAAAAUAUUUGUCACCUUUUUUCUUCAGCUUUAAAGCUUUCACCAUAUUCUAAAAUUUAUUUUAGUAUCAUGUUAACUAAAAUGUGAACUUCAUCCAAAUAGGUGAAAUAUACUAACUAUUAGGUGCAAUAAUACUGCUCUUAAGUGGGAAGAUAAUGAUCCAAAUGAUGGUAAUAUUGAGUAUCAUUGAAAGUUUCAUGCUUGGUAAUUUUAUACUAAUUUGUUGAUCUUGGAGAAAUAUUAAAAGAUGUUAAAAAUUUUAAAUUUUCUUUUACAAAGUAAUUUUUUUAAAAAAAAAUAUUUUUUUCCCUUCUUUAUGAGGCAAAUAUUAGGUAAAAAAAAUUAAUUUGAAAGAACAGAAAAAAAAAAUUAAAAGAUGUUAAAAUUUUUAAAUUUUUUUGAAAAACCUUUUUUCAGACUUUUAAAUGAAGUUAGAUAUAUAUAUAUAUAUAUAUAUAUAUAGAGAGAGAGAGAGAGAGAGAGAGAGAGAGAGAGAGAGAGAGAGAGAGAGAGAGAGAGAGAGAGAGAGAGAGAGAGAGAGAGAGAGAGAGAGAGAUGUAGUGUCUUAGUUAAUUAAAACCAAAGGGAAAAUUGGUGGAAAUAACACAAAAAUUAAUAAAUAAAUAAAGGCACAUGACAAUAUUGUAAUAGAAAAAUAAAAAAGAUAUGAAAACAAAAGGAAGAGAGAAUAAACAUAAAAAGAAGGAAAAUAUUAAAUUAUCACUUUAUAUGUAUUCUAUUAUCACUUUGCCAAGUAAUAAGAAUAGUCAAAUCUCAGGAUUGAACCUAAAACUAAUCAAGCAUUUGGUAUAUAGACUCAAGUCAUAUUAAUCUAAAUAGGAUCCAAAGACCAGUCAAGUCUAGACUCUUUGAUUUCAAAAGAUCUUCUAGUCUACGAAUCCUAUAUAGAUGGUAAAAUGACUAAGAGGACUACAGUUAAGAAACAUUUAGAGUUAGUGCUUAUUGACGUGUAUGAUCCUUUUUCUGUUUAUGCAUGGUAAGUAUGAGUAUUUCAUCAUUUUUAACAACGAUUACUCUAGGUUUGGAUUUUUGUAUAGGGAAUUUGAUGCCUUUGAUACAUUCAUUAAAUUUAAGGUGAGAUCAGAUAACCUAUUAGGUAAACAUAUUUGUCACUUUGAUUAGAUUGAAGUAGUAUGUCAAGUAUGUUUGAUGACUUUCAUAGGAGCAUGUGAUUAUUUUCCAAUUAUGUGCACUAGGGACUCCAUUACUAAAUGCAGAGGUGGAAAGAAGAUAUCAAACUUUAAUAGGCAUAAUGAAAUCAAUGAUUGAUUUCUUAUUAUUUCCCAUAUUCUUUUGGAGAUAUAUCUUAAAAGACUGUAUAAUACUUCUUUUUCCUAAAAGGUAUAUUGGUUUAUGAGAUAUUUAAGAGAAUUUCAAAGGUCAUUACCUUUAUAGUCAAGAUUAUUAGAAGAUGUUAUUGUUACAAAUGUCAUAUUCAUUAUGAAGACUAUAUGAUAAGGAAUAAGACAAAGAAUGAUGUAGAAUGAAGGAUACAUUAGAAGACAAUCCCACUUAUACAUAGGUUGCUAUGGAUCUAGAGGAUUAGAGACAUACAAUUCUUAUGAUUUUUAAUACACCAAUACCUCAUCAUAGUGAGAGGUUUAUAUCCUAUAGAUUAUGAUGAGAAGUGAGUGGUGUUUGUGCUCAUUUUAGGUAAGGAGCUAUGAAGGUAAAAUUAGAAUCUUUAUAUUCUAACAUAGUUUGGGUUCUUGUUGAAGCACCUGAAGGGAUAAAACCUAUGGGGAUAAGUUAGUCUAUAAUAAGAAUAAAAGAGUAGAUAGAAAGUUUGAGUUUUAUGUGGCUAAUUUGUAGCUAAAAAUUAUAGUUUGAAACUUCGUUUCAACUAUAGAAAACCUUUUCAUUAGUAGCCUACUAAAAUCCAUUAAAAUACUCUUAUCAAUUGUGAUACAUCUCAUUUAUGAGAUACAACAAUUAGACAUUUUCAUAUAAAAUGGUCUUAUGUGUAUAAGAAGGCAUAAAAAAACAUUAGUUAUUUCUCUUAUGUAUUGUUUGUGGUUUCUUUAUUUUUUUUUCAUUAGUUAUUUCUCUUUUUGUAUUUUUUUUUUGUGUGUUUUUAGCUCUAUUGUUAUACUGACAUAUUUCAUCUAUUAAAACUAAACUUUGUUCAACUUUUAAAUAAUUCUUUAAUUUCUUUCAAAGUUUUAUUUAGCUAGCACAUAAAGGCCCAAAUUACUAGUUGUUUAAUACAAAUAUGAAUUUAAUCACAUAAAAUAAUUGAAAAAAAUAUAAUAAUCUACAAUGAUCACCAAAAUGAAAUAAAAUUAUCUAUUAUUUACCAUAUUCAAAAUAAUUAUUAAUCCUUUUUAUGAGCCAAGGAAAUCAAGAAAAUUGCAAAUAAAUUAAACUUGAGUCAAUUAAAAUUGGAUUAUAAAAAUGAAAUGAAAUUCUAAAAAAUCCAAUGCAUUAUAUAAUAUUUUUUAGGCAACUGAAUGAAGUACUAAAAAGAACUAAAAACAUGUUAAAAAGAAUUGAUCAUUACCUCAAAUGAGGGAGUAUAGUAGAGAGCUCCAUCAGGCUUCUUCAGCAGGAACCACCUUUAAACUUUUCAUUGAAAUCUGAAUAAAUUAAAAUAUUUUUCACUAAAUUGAUCAAAUGAAGUGAUUGAACUUUAAAUGAACUAAAGACUUUAAUUUGGUUGAGUAAACUAAAUAAAGAAUAUUAUAUUCACUAGAAAUAUUGAUUAAGGAAGCAAAAAGAAGCUGCUUACAUAGGGAGCACAAGAGAUGGAGGCGAUGGUGGGUUUUAGGCAAUUAGAGGUCUUCUGAUUUGUCUCCUAGCGGCAAAAUGGUGGCAUAAGGAAAGUUGCAUUCCCCAUUGUUCUCAUCUUCCUCAUAUACUAAACGAACCCCACACUUUUUCACCUCUUCCCUAGCCUUGUAGUUGAUCAAACAUCUAACAAAUGAAAUCUUCAAAGUGUUGCUAUGCUUUCUAAACUCAUUUUCAUUCCAACAGUAUAGUGCAACAAGUGAUCGAUACCCUAGCCAGAUGUGGUCAACUUUCAUUGAAAAAUGCAUGGAAGCCAUUUCCCCGACAUAGUACUCACCACCAUUGUUGAUACUAGGUCAACUAAGAAUAAAUUCCUCCUUUUGAGGUGGCAGUGAAAGCUCCCAUUCAAAUGCCAGAAUCUAGAUUUCUUGCUUCCCUGCACAAAAAUGUUAGAACGGGUUGUCCGGACACACCCUUCGAAGCUCAAGUCAGACUAGAGUCCUUUAGAGAGAGAGAGAGAGAACUCACAGUGUCCUGCCAUUUUUUUUUUCUUAUAGUAGGGUUUUUAUAAUAUUCAAAUGUGGAGCCAAGUUCUGCAGUGAUGGGCUAGCCUUUGCAGUGAUGAUUGCACAGUAGUGAUAGGGCAAUCAUCACACCCGUAGGGCGGUUGGGGGCUGUGUCAAAUGACACGUCAUGACAUAGCUUGUCGUCCCUUCACCUUUGUUGAAGGCCUAAUACUGAGCAUGCUUAUCUAUUGAAGUAGACGUGAGGAUGGGAAAAGUCCCAUAAGUCAAUAUGGUGUUAAUUAGGCAUGGUCUCAUAUACUAGAAAAGACUUGAGGCUAUCAAGGAGGUGCGGCGCGCUCAGCAGUGCAAAUGGUCCGGAUAGGAUGUUUUCGAAUGACACGUGGCCUAGCUGGAAUUAUGCUGCAUCAACAGACACGUGGAAGCAUUUGUGGGUGGACACGUGGGAUAAGACCCCCACAACCAUCUCCCAGAAGAAAAUAUACAAAACCCGGGAACAUUACAGUGGGAGAGACUUCGGGCUCUACGUCGACAAGAGCAUAAACAACCAAUCCCUUCAACUUGGUAUUAGACCAAUGUCAAAGCAGCUCUACUGUUACUAAAGACCCUACACUCUGAUGGGCGAACCACUCUAUAAUGCUACUUCCAAGAACAAUAGCAUCACAACCAUUACAUGGACUACGAAAAACCUGUAUGAUGAUGAAAACGUUGUUGGCAUGUAAAGGAAUAUUUUGUGGGAUUGCUCCAAUUGAUUGACACUUGGCGUAAGCAAAAAAUAUUCACACACAGAAAAAGAGAGAAACCUGAUCUGGAUGCAGAUAUUUCGGUACUGAUGCAACAAGCCGAAUUCCAAGUAGGAUAGCUUCCACAAUGUCACUCUGCUCAUUCUUCACUAGUUGGAAGCAAUUAGAAAAUUCAAAAAUGAGUCGUCUUGAAUUCCUCAACCCAUAUGCACUUGGUGGAUAUGAAAAGGUUUUCAGGGAUGUACAAUGAUUCGCAUCUAGUCUUGCAAUGCUUGAUGGAAGCUCUAGCAAUGAUUGAAGACUCCUGCAGUAAGUCAGUGCCAGCGUAUGGAGCCGAGGAAGUCCACUGAGGCUAGCAGGCAUGGUAAUGAAAUUGUUUCCGCUCAGAUCUAAAUAUUCUAAUGAAGAUAGAGAGCUCAGAUCACUAGGCAAUGCUCCUUCCAAUAGAUUGCAGCCACUCAAAUUCAAUUUCUCAAGGAGUAUAAACCUGAGAAAGAAGGCAGUCUCAAUCCUUCUGUUGGUGAUGAGUGGAAAGAGAAGACCAGAUUCCUUGACUUAGAUUUCCCUCCCUUACAUCUUGCAAAUGAUAAUUUUUAAAGGUUUGUCAGAAGAGUAAUAGAAUAAGGUACCUCUUGUAUGCCACUUCCAUCUGCAUUUAGCUCUACUAAACAUUGUAAGCUCCCCAAGUCAUCUGGCAAUUCCUUCAGUUCUGAUCAACCAUAGAGGGUAAGAGUCCGAAGAGAUGCCAGCUCACAUAUACUUUGCGGAAGACUUGCAAGUUUUUUACAAUUGCUCAAAUCCAACAAAACAAGUUCAUUUAGACGUUCAAUUGAUGAUGGCACUUCUCUUAUACUACUUGUGAAUGUUUUCAACAGAACCACCACAAAUUAUCUUGGUGAGUGUUUCUUCUCUAUAUUUCCAUUUACAAAGUACAUAAAAAUAGAAAGAAUAAAUAAUUUGUGGUAACGUAUCCUUGACACAAGGGAGCUAAUUAAGGUAACGUAUCCGUGACACCCCCUUGGAAGUUGAGCAUUGGAUUUGAACAAACAUGAAGCUUGGUACGAAAGAAGUCAAAGAGAGGGCAAGAAACACUUUUGGUGAAGAGGUCGGAAACUUGUAGAUGAGAGGGCACAUAUUGAGUGCGAAGUUUACCAGCAACAACAAGUUCCCGAAGAAAAUGAUAGUCUAAGUCAACAUGCUUGGCCCGUUUGUGGAAAACGGGGUUGGAGCUUAAGAAGAUCGCACUUUUGUUGUCACAUAGGAGAAUAGGCUUCGGUGAAAUGGGAACCUUAAGAUCAUGAAGUAGAUGGGUGAGCCAAAGAAGUUCAGCUGCAGUAGUGGCAAUGGCACGAUACUUAGAUUCACAACUAGAACAAGAGACAGUGGGUUGCUUUUUAGCACUCCAAGAAACCAGAUUAUUGUCAAGAUAAAUAGAGUAGCCAGAGGUGGAACGGCGAGUAUAGGGACAACCGACCCAAUUAGCGUUAGAGUAAGCAACUAGGGCACCAGGACCAAUAGAAGGGCGAAAAGUAAGAUCAAAGUGAAGUGUGCCCUUGACAUAAUGUAAGAUGCGCUUGACCGCAAGAAAGUGAGCCGCAGUAGGGGCAUGCAGAAACUGACUAACAGAGUUGACAACAUGAGCAAUGUCAGGGCGAGUAAUGGUUAAAUACUGAAGGGCACCAACUAGGAAUCGAUAAAGAGUGGGGUCUGAGAAGGCAGGAUCAUCGCUAGUUAGAUGCUGAUAGACAACCAUAGGAGUGUGAACAGGCUUGCUGUCAAGUAACUAGGCACGAGUCAGAAUAUAAGUACAUAAAAAUAGAAAGAAUAAAUAAUUUGUGGUAAAGUAUCCUUGACACAAGGGAGCUAAUUAAGGUAACGUAUCCGUGACACUACUCCCAUCUAGAAAAAGCUCCUUCAAACUCUCCUUAUUUUCCAGCAUAUCCGGAAGCUUCUUAAGUCUUGCGCAGUUUGAAAGAACGAGAGUUUUCAGGGACUGCAACUUAAAAAUGCUUCUAGGAAAUGACUGAAGGCGUUUGCACUCUUUCAGAUUUAAUAAAGCAAGUCCGGUGAGAUUUUCAAUGGAUGAGGGCAAUCCUUUAAUAAGAGUCCCUUCUAAAGAAAGCUCUGCUAGAUGUUCCAUAUUUCCUUGGACCUCUGGAAACUUAUUGAGUUUUAAGUAGCCGAAGAAAGUAAGAAUUUCAAGAGACUCCAUAUGGAUGCUGCUUGGGAAGCUCUUGAGUUUCUUUCAGCCUUUUAAAUUCAGGAAAAAUAGGCUGCUUGAGAGCUCCAAUGGAUGGGUGAACCUCUACCAAACUUAUACAACCUUUGUUAAUUACUCUCCUAAGGUUUGGGGCUCCCGAGAAGUCCGGAAUUUUGGUUAGAUAUUGAGAGUGGCUGAGUUUGAUGAAUUUCAACUUCUCCAAUCGCUGUCAAAGAAAAAGACUAAAAAUAAAGGCUACAACAAAUCAAAUUGAUGAACUUUAUAAUUGAUUUAAAGUAAAAAUAUAUAUAUAUAUAAAAAUAAUAAUAAUACCUUGUUCCCUUCCCAUAGUUGUUCAAGCUGACUAGAGCACAAGUUUAGCUCAACAAGCUUGUUUAGAUGAAAAUUUGAUGGAAGGGACUUCAAAGGAUAUCCAUGCCAAUAAAGAGAUCUUAAAUUGUUGAAUGGAAAUUUAAAAUCUCUGGAUAGAUGCAAUUUCCAUCAUUGUAUAGAGAGUUAUACAUCUCGUAGUCACUCCAUCUCCGAGCAUCAUGAGUACUAGUAAUUAUCUCAUUCCUAGAUAAAUAUUCAAAGCUUCCAGGGAAUUGAAAAUUAGAAAAUCUGAGCAAUCUUAAAUUGCUCAUUUUUGCAAAGGCAUAAAUGCUGAGGUUUAGCUCUUUUGAUACAGACAAGUCAAAGACUAUGCCUUCAACUGCUUCAAUCCCCUAAAAUUAACCAAGAGUAGAGUAAAUGAAAAAAAUAAAAAAAUAAAAAUGAAAUCUGAACAGUUUAAAAGAGAAAAAAAAGUCCACAAACCACCUGACUUUUUUCUUUUAGUAAGUGUUGUUAGAGAAAUUAAGUUUCAACUUUAAACACAAGAAAAUGCAUCUUUUAAGGUAGCAACUAUUGUCAUGUAAGUAAAAUGGUAUUUAGGUGUCUUACCAUAUUUGUUGUUAGUACAUCAUUGACUUCAUCAUUAUCCCACAACCUGUUGGGAUUGCCGGGGUAUUUAACAUCUCCUUGCCCAACAAUUUCCCAACCCAUCUCUUAUAGUAAAUCAUGCAUGCACAACUUAUUAUUUGAACAGUUAUGAGAGACUUAUCUAUAAAAACUCUUAUGUCAAUAAUCAGAAAGAAAUCACUACUUUCCAGUAUUUCUUCAACAAAACUUCUGUCUUCCCCUUUAAAGAAGCAUGCAAUAUCAAGUAAUAUUUCCUUUUGAGUAUGAUCUAAUCCAUCAAAACUUAUUUUUAGCUUUGUAUGAACAUCUUCAUGUGGAAUUCUUUUAAGUUUUAUCUAAUGCACUUUUCCAUUCAUCUAUGUUCUUGUUGCAUAAGAAAGCCCAACACUGUAAGGGCUAAUGGAAGGCCUUUAAUAUGAUCCACAACAUGGUUGCAUAGCUGCAUAUAAUCUUCUAUUACAGGAUUAUGUUUAAAGGCAUACCAACCAAAGAGCUUAUGAGCUUCAUCAUAUGCUAAUUCCUCAACAUCAUGUAUUGCAUCCACUCUAUUUCGCAAACCUUUAUCCCUAGUAGUUAUGAUAAUUUGACUACCUCAACCAAACCAAUCAUGAUCUCCUGCUAAAGCUUGCAACUGCUGCUGGUUAUGCACAUCAUCAAGAACGAUAAGGGCCCUCCUUGAGUGGAGUCUUGCUUUUAUAAAAUUGAUUCUAGUAUCAAAAAUUUUUGUUUUCCCCCCUAAACUUUGUGAAAGGAGUUUUUCUUUUAAAUAAGUUAGAUCAUGCCUUUGUGAGUCUUCUCUAUCAAUUUUAAGAAAGUAACAAUCUUCAUAUUUAUUGUGGAUUCGAUUGUAAACAACUUUGGCGACGGUGGUCUUACCUAUGCCGGCCAUGCCCCAAAUUCCUACAAUCCAAACAUCAUCAGAACCAAUACAUAACGAUGAAACCAUAUCCUCUAUACGCCCAAGUAGAUCAUCCAUGCUGCUUAUGGAUGCAUCAAUUGGUUCAUUCAAUAUCUUGGUAACAAUUUCUUCAAUAACCUCAGAUUCAUCUCUGCAAAAUUCAAAUUGAGAACAAUUGCAUGAUCAUUUUUUAAAGCAAUAGAGGGACAAAGAAAAAUAGACAAACAUAGCAGCACUUAGAUUUAGAUUUGAUCUUUGCAAUUAAAUAUAACUUGACGAGAUGAAGCCAAAUCCCAUACUCAUGUUGUCACAGUGAGAACACAUAGUAGCCAAUAAAAAGAAGAGAUAUAGGGUUAGGAAUAUUAUCAUUCAGUCUGGCCUCCUCCCAAUUGAGCAGGAUGCAUAAAGAACAUCUUAGAAACAAGGUUUCUAAUUAUUCACAUAAGUAAAUAUCAAAUACCACAUAAGUAAAUAAUAAAUUAUUCACGUAUGGAUACUUUUUUAUAAAGUUCUCAAUAUAAUCAUUUAAAAAAACUUCAUUAUAUUUAAAUAUCAUUUUAAUUUUCAAACUACACGUCAAAACCACAUAACUUUUGUUGUAUGUGUUUUAUUUUUCUAAGUUUAUAUAAAUGAAAAUUGUCAAAUUUUCCUUAUAUAUAUAUAUAUAUAUAGUAUUUUAUUUUCUUUUAAUUGGUUUGUUUCAUAAUAGUAUAGAAGGGUUUUUUUUUUUAUCUUUUUAUUUUUUUUAUAAUAUUGAUAAGGUACAUUGCUAAUGUUGCUACUUAUUUAUUUAUUUGUUUUUUAUUUUCUUCAAAAGCUAACAAGGUUAAUGCUUAAUUGUUUUAUGUUUACGGAAAGGAAAUGAAAAAUUAUUAUAUUUAAAAAAAAUUUGGUUUUUUUUAUUACAAUUAAACAAUAAAAUAUUAUACUAUGCUUAUGUUAUUUUAAAAGAUUUUGAGAUUAAAAUGCAUGUAAUAUCUUUUAAAUAAAUAAAAAUAUUCAAAUAUGGGUACUUUUGUUACCAUACUGAAAUAAUGGAAAUUUGUCUCCUUAUACCAAAUAAAAGCUAUUUUAAUUUUAUUACAUCUUAUCCUAAAUUUUUCCCAUAUAUUUCUUUAAUUUUUUUCAUUGGUUAUCUCCCCUAUGUAUUGCAAGAAAAAGUGCAAAUUAUGUCAUUCAAUAUAAAUAUGAAUUUAAUCAUAUAAAGUAAUUGAAAAAAAUAUUAACCUACGAUGGAUUGCCAGAAUGAAAUUAAAUUAUCUAUUAUUUACCAAAUUCAAAAUCAUUAUUAACCCUUUCCUAGAGGCAAGGAAACAAAGAAAACUACAAUUAAAUUAAAAUUGAGUCAAUUAAAAUUUGUUUAUAAAAAUAAAAAUUCAAAAAUUCAUUCCAUUAUCUAAUUAUUGCUAAAAUUCAUUACAUUGUGUAAUUUUUGUUUGGCAACUGAAUGAAGUACUAGAAAGAUCCCAAAGUAUAUUAAAAGAAAGGGAUUACCUCAAAUGAUGAGGUAUGAUAGAGAUUGAACGAGCGCUUCUUCAACUGGAACCAUCUUUAAACUUUUUAUUGAAAUCUGGAGAAAUCAAAGUAUUUUUCACUCAAUUGUUACUAUAAUAUCAUGAUAAAUUUAAUUUAAUAAAUUAAUAGAAUAAAAAAUUGGUGGUCAAUAAAAUAUUUCCAAAAUCCAAUGUUUGAUUGCCAAAGGCUUCAAGAGUAUGAGAAGGUUUCGAAGAAGCUUACAGGGGGAGCAUAGGUGAUGGAGGGGAAAGAAGGAACCCAAUUUUGAAGGAGCCGAAGGGUCCAUCAGAAGACCUUUUUUGUAGUUAGAGUCAUCUCCAUCGCCAUCUCCAUCUCCCGGCCACGUGGUGCCGAAAGGAAAGCUGCAUCCGCCAUCUUUCUCGAGCAAGAGAUAUAUACUCAAACAACGUGUGAUCUGACUCAAUAAAUUUGGAUCCUUCAAGUGGAGUAUACAAUGAGUGCAGGCCAGUCUCCACAAAACAAUCAUUCAGAUAACAAACUAAACCAAAGGAUGACGGUUCUGUACCGGGGUACCCAUCCAUAGCACCCUUGAAAUUGAGAGCAGCACAAAAAGCCAAUCCCAUCAACUUGGUAUUAUACCAAUGUGGAGGCAGCUCUAUAUUUACAGAACACCCUACACUCUGAUGCCUGAACCACUCUGGAAUUCUACUUCCAGGAACCAAAGCAUUAUAUUCAUUGUGUGGAGUAGGGAUCCCCUGCAUCAUGGAAAUCAUUGCUCGCAUGUGAGAAAAUAGUGUAGAAUAAGUAUUCAAAGUUUUAAAAUUAUUUUCUGGGAUUAAAUUUAUUUUUAAGAUUUUUUUUUUUAAGCAAAUACUUUUUGUCCUAUACAAUCCCAAAGUAGAAAAACAUACCCAUGGCACCAGAAAUUUUGGUAUUGAUGACAUAAGCUGGAUUCCCUCUAAUAUAGCUCCCACAAUGUCACUGCCUUGAUUCUCUCCUAGCCUAAAGCAAUUAGUGAAAUUAAAUCUGAGGUCCCCGAACUUCUUGGAUGUGUAUGCACCUGAUGAACAUGAGAAGGUUUCCAGGGAUGUGCAACUAUGGGCAUUUAAACUUUCAACACUUGAUGGAAGCUCUGGCAAUGAUUGAAGACUCUUGCAGUAUUCUAAUGUGAGACUUCGCAGCCGAGAAAGUCCACUGAGGCUAGCAGGUAUGGUAAUGAAACUGUUCCUGCUCAGAUCUAACCUUUCCAAUGAGGGUAUGGACCCAAGAUCACUGGGCAAUGCUCCUUCCGAUAGGUUGCAACGUUGUAGAAUUAACACUCUCAAGGAGUAUAAACCCGAGAAAGAAGGCAGUCGCAAUUCUUCUGUUGGUGAUGAGUGGAAAGAGAAGACCAUAUUCCUUGACUUGGAAUCCCCUCCCUUACAUCCUGCUAAUGAUAAUUUUUGAAGGUUUGUCAAAAGAGUAAUAGAGGGUGGAACCUCUUGUAUACCACUUCCAUCUGCAUUCAGCUCUGCUAAACAUUGUAGGCUCCCCAAGUCAUCUGGCAAUUCCUUCAGCUCUGAGCAACCACAGAGAGUAAGAGUCCCAAGAGAUGUCAACUCACAAAAGCUUUGCGGAAGACUUGCAAGUUUUUUACAAUUCUUCAGAUUCAAAAAAACAAGCCCAUUUAGACACCCAAUUGAGGAAGGCAGUUCUAUUAUACCACUCCCAUCUAGAAAAAGCUCCAUCAAACUCUCCAUGUUUUCCUGGAUCUCUGGAAGCUUCUUGAGUCUUGUGCAGUUUGAAAGAAUGAGAGUUUUCAGGGACUUCAACUUAAAAAUGCUUCUGGGUAGUGACUCAAGGCUUUUGCACUCUUUCAGAUUUAACAAAGCAAGUCCAGUGAGAUUUUCAAUGGACAAGGGCAAUCCUUUUAUAGCAGUCCCUUCUAAAGAAAGAUUUGGUAGAUGUUCCAUAUUCCCUUGGACCUCUGGAAACUUCUUCAGUUUUGAGCAGCCAGAGAGAGUAAGAAUUUGAAGGGACUCCAUAUGGAUGCUGCUUGAGAAACUCUUGAGUUUUUUGCAGCCUUCUAAAUUCAGGAAAAUAAGCUUCUUGAGAGCUCCAAUAGAUGGGUGAACCUCGACCAAACUUGUACAACCUUUGAGAAUUAGUCUCCUAAGGUUUGGCACUCCAGAGAAGUCUGGUGUUUUGGUUAGAUGUUGAGAGUGGCUAAGUUUGAUGGAUUUCAACUUCUCAAAUCCCUAUCAAAGAAAAGGGAAAACAAUCCACUUUAAUGGACUUUAUAAUCCAUUUAAAGAAAAAAAAUGUAUAUAAAUUAUAAUCAUACCUUUUUUCCUUCCCACAGUUGUUUAAGUCUACUAAAGCACAUGUUUAGCUCAACAAGCUUCUCUGGAUGAAAAUUUGAUGGAAAGGACUUCAAAGGGUAUCCAUGCCAAUAGAGAUCUCUUAAGUUGUUGGAUAGAAAUUUGGAAUCUUCAUAUAGGUGCAAUUUAUUUUGAGUGUACAAAUAAUUCCUCUCUGUCCAAACAUCAUGAGUAUAGGCAAUUAACUCUUUUUUUGACAAAUAUCCUAAGCUUCUAUCUAUUUGCACAUUACAAAUUUUGAGCAAUCUUAAUCUCUUCAUCUUUGUAAAGGCGUCAAUACUAAAGUUUAACUCUUUUGAUUCAGACAAAUCAAGGAAUAUGCCUUCAACUGCUUCGGUCCCCUAACAUUAACCAAGAGCAAAGUAUAAGUUUCAAAUUAAAAUAGAAAAAUUAAAAAAAUAAUAAUAAUAAAGAAAAAAGAAAGAAGAAAGUCUAGAAUAUAGCAAAUUAAUUACAUUUUUUUCCUUUUUAUUUUUUAUUUAUUUUUCACUUUUUUAAGUGUUGUUGGAAACUUGGAGGAAUGAAUUUUUAACACAAGAAAUAUUUUAGGAUAGUAACUUUCGUAAUGGAAGUAAAAUUGUACAAAACUGUGAGUUCUUGAAUGAGAUUGGAUAGUAUUCUUUAAACUUAGGCUUCCAUCUAAAACUUAUACACAUGAAAAAAGAGAGUUGAUGUAUUUUAGCCUUACCGUAUUUGUUGUUAGUACAUGAUUGAUGUCCUCAUGAACUCUUAACCUGCUACGCUCGCCAGGUACUUCAGAUUUUUGUCUAACAAUUUCCCAACCCAUUUCUUGUAAUAAAUCAUGCAUGCACAACUUAUUCUCCGAAAUAGUUAUAAGUGACUUAUCUUCAAGAUUUCUUAUCCCAAUGCCAAAGAAGAAACCACAACUAUCUAGUAUGUCUCCAACAAAAUCUUUAUCAUGCCCUUUAUAAAAGAAUGCAAUAUCAAGAAAUAUAUUUUGUUCAUUGUCAUCUAACCCUUCAAAACUUGUUUUGAGCACAUUUUGAACUUCUUUGUUGGGGAAUUGUUUGAGUUUGUUCAAUUCACUCUCCCAUUCAUGUAUGCCUUUUGUGUAUAGAGAAGAACCCAAGACUUUAAGGGCUAACGGGAGGCCACUAGUAUAAUCUAAUGCAUGGCCACAUAGUUGCCUAAAAUCUUCUGUACCAUGCCUAUGUCUAAAGGCAUACAGACAAAAUAGCUUAAGAGCUUCAUCAUUGUCUAAUUCCUUAACUUCGUAUAUUGCAUCCACUUCUUGACAAGUUAGCAAAUGUCGAUCUCUAGUUGUUAUGAUAAUUCGACUUCCUAAACCAAACCAAUUAUUGUAUCCUGCUAAAUCUUCCAACUGUUGUCGUUGAUCCACAUCAUCAAGGAUAAUAAGGACCUUCCUAGAGUGGAGCACAUCCUUCAUAAAAUUGAUUCCUUUAUUAAAAAGUCCUGCAUUUGGUUUCCUUUCCUUUAAAAUUUGUGAAAGGAGUUCCAUUUGUAAAUAAGGUAGACCAUGUUUGUAUGACUCUUCUCUAACAUUUGAAAGAAAGCAACAACCUUCAAAUUGAGUGUAGAUUCGCUCAUAAAUAACUUUAGCAAUGGUAGUCUUCCCUAUGCCAGCCAUGCCCCAAAUUCCUACCAUCCGAACAUCAAGUGAUCCAAUACAUAAUAAGCAAUGUUUUAAAAACCGGACCGGACCGGCCGGUCGGACCGGUCCAACCGUCGGCCGGUCACCAUUCCGGUCCGAUCCGGUCAUUUAGACCGGAUUGAGAUCUAACCGGAGUUAAACCGUUCGAACCGGCGGUUCAACCGGUGAACCGGACGAACUGGCCGGUUCCAAAAAAACCGACCAAUUCAAAAGAUUUUAAUUUUUCUUUAAAAAAAAAUUAGAAAAUGAAAAUAUUACCAUAGAAUUUAAAAUGAAUUUUACUAAAGGAUGUUGGGCUUGUCUUAUGACACAGCCCACAACCCACAUACCCAUUCCACUUUAUGUGGGCUGAGUUUUGAGCCCAAGUUUUGAGCCCACAAGCCUAUCUUAAGCCUUUGCUGAGGAUGGCUUUUAUAGGAGUCAUUUGACUCCUUGUUCCCCUUUCUUGCCGAUGUGGGAUUGCUAAAAAUCAAAGAAAAAAAACAUAACAAAACUCCAAGAAGGUUUGAACCUUGGACCACCCCUAUACUAAGUCCACAUAGAACACCACUCGGCUACAUGGAUUUUAUUUCCUACUAUGCCAAACAAAACAACACAUAUUAGAUUUUAAAUUUUUUUAUAAUAUUAAAUAAAAAUAAUAUAAUAUUUUUAAAAAUUAUGAAAUUAGUUUAAAUUUUCAUUUUUUUAUAUAUUCAUAUUUAAAUAUUACACAUAUUUCAUUUAAUAAAAUUUAAAAUAUUAAUAUGAUUUAAUUUGAUAAUAUAUUAAUAUCAAAGAUAUAAAAUAAUAUUAUUGAUGUUUAAUUUAUUCAUAUAUAUUUUAAAAUUUUUAUAAUUAUAUUUAAUUUUAAUAAAAUAUAAAUUAUAUAUUUAUGACGUCACCGGUUCGAUAGCGGUUCGACCGCCGGUCCGACCAGUGAACCGUGAACCGGUAACUUUUCCGGUUCGAUCACCGGUCCGGUUCUGAAAACAUUGAUAAUAAGGAAUCCAUGGCCUCUAGGCGGGACUCCAUCCCAACUAGGCCCUUCAUGUAGCUUGGAGAUGUGCCAACCAAUUUAUUCCAAAUAUCUCUAACAAUUUCCUCAAUAAGUUUGGAUUCAUGCCUGUCAAAUUCAAUUUGAGAACAAUGACAUAUAUAGUUAAAAUAAUAAUAAAAAUCCAUAAACGGACAAAGAAAAAUAUAUUAAAUGUGAGAGUACGUAGAGGUCGUUUGUUUUUUUAGCUUUUUAUUGAAAACAAUUGUUUAUUUUUCCACUUUUUUUAUAACUUAUUAUAAACAUUUUGUUGAAUAGAAAAAAAAAAAAAAAAACAAUCUGAGAUACCAUAAUUAAGAGCCACGCUCAACACUCUGUCCUGCAGAAACUUAAUGGUUAUGACCAUCAGGGGUGGAAAACUAGUGAGAUCAAGGACCAUAUGGCAAGGUACCGAAUUUUAUUUAUGCCUAAUAUUAUAAUUUUUUAUAACAAGGGGCAUUUAGAUCGAUCUCAGCUUAAUACGUGGGUCGAGAUCAAUCUUCAUUUGGAUCAAUGUGUACAUAGUCACCUCUUAAUUAAUACAUACCUCUGACAUGUCACAUGAUGAAGCAGAGCUUAUCCAGUUAAUAGAAAAGAAGAAGCACAUCUAGUUAGAAAGAAUUACCUAUCCCGUGAAUCCCAUCCAGAAAUUGUGGCUACUUCAGUUAAUGCUUCUCUCCACUUGACCACUUUCUCCAUCUUCUCCCUGUAUUCUUGUUCAUGCUUUGCAAAUGCCUCUGCAAAACUCCCUGUUUGUUUUUUUACAUGGGAGGGAUUCAAGUUAUAGAAAACUGGUAGUGCUCUAUGUCCCAUAACUUUGAUGCAGUCAAGUAUCUUUACUAGCUCGUCCAGACACCAACUGGAAGAAGCAUAGUUGUCAGAGAAAAUGAUGAUGGAAAACCUCGAUUCUUCAAUGGCGUUAAGGAGCGCUGGAGAUAUUUGUUCUCCUCUCCUAAGUUGGUCAUCCAUGAAAGUGUUGAUUCCUUUUUGACAAAGCGCCGUGUGAAGAUGAUCAGUGAAGCUUUUACGGGUGUCUUCGCCUCUGAAACUAAGGAAGACAUCAUACUUCCAUUGAUGGGUGGAAGAAGAAGUAGAAGAAGUAGAAGAAGAAGAGGAAGAAGGAGCCAUUAGAGAAAUGAAAGAAGCAAAACCAUGGGAAGAAUGAACAAGAAAACUAAUGAACCUGAGGGCUGAAUUCAGUGUCUUGUGUGGACCUUAUCCAAAAAGAAUCACCAUUUGGCUGGACCGUGAGAACUGAAGAGCUAAUGUCUAUUCAUACCCCAUUGGUAUUAACACAUCAUUAUUAGUAUAUUAACAUCAUUCAUCCAGUGUAUUGAAAUUAUGUAAUAAUUUCUUUAUAUACAUAUAGAAAAAAGAAACUACAAGUUUUGUGAAGUCAAAUUAGUAUUUCAUUUGUUUUUAGAAAUGAUUUAUAAUAUAAGUAUAUUAUAAAAUAUGGUAUGAUCAUACAAAAUUAUCACUUUUAUAAAAAAAAGUUCAAAAUUUUUCCAAUUAGAUUUUAUUAUAAUAUAUUGUAAUGUAAACGUAUUUAUAUUGUAAUUAUAACAUAUUUUUGUUGUAUCUAAGUUUUAUAAUAAAAGUAAUAAUUUUAGAUAUCAUUUUUUAUUCCUCAUUAAUAUUCAACAUAUCAUAUGUAUUAACAUCAUCCACUCAAUUUAUUGAGAAAAAAAAAAUUAUAUAUGAAAAUUAAAUAGUCUACCUCCCUCUAAUUUAAAAAAUGGAUUACUCCGCUCAGGUGAAUAAUAUUUUCAACCUAAAUUAAUAUUUUGCAUUUUUUUAACAAAUAUUUUUCCAUGCAGGAUGAAUAAGUUAAGCUUUCACCAUAUUCUAGAAUUUAUUUUAACAUGGUAUUAAAAAUUUUAUGUUAUAUUUUUCUUAGCAUUUCAAUCUCAAUUUUAAUUUAAUAAUGAAAUAUCAUAUCAUUUUAUUAAGUUGCUUAGCUUCAAAGCAUUUAAUAGUGAGUCCGGGGCUAAACAUAAUUUAAAUAAAAAAAGUCAAAUGGAAAAAGGAAAAGUGGGAGACACAAAAGAGAGAAAGACAAGAAUGGGGUGGGGGCCAUUGCUUUUUCUAAGAGAAAAGCUUUUCCUCAUCCACGAAGAAGACCAGUCCAUGAUUAAAAAGGAAGUGAUUACCUCAAAUCAGGAGGUAUGACAGAGAUUGAACAAGAGCUUCUUCAACUCGAACCACCUUUAAACUCUUCAUUGAAAUCUGGAGAAAUCAAAGUAUUUUUCACUCAAUUGUUGCUAUAAUAUCAUGAUAAAUUUAUUUUAAUAAAUUAAUAGAAUAAACAAUUGGUGGUCAAUAAAAUAUUUCCAAAAUCCAAUGUUUGAUUGCCAAAGGCUUCAAGAGUAUGAGAAGGUUUCGAAGAAGCUUACAGGGGGAGCAUAGGUGAUGGAGGGGAAAGAAGGAACCCGAUUUUGAAGGAGCCGAAGGGUCCAUCAGAUGACCUUUUUUGUAGUUAGAGUCAUCUCCAUCGCCAUCUCCAUCUCCCGGCCACGUGGUGCCGAAAGGAAAGCUGCAUCCGCCAUCUUUCUCGUCUUCCUCGUAUACUAGACGAAUCCCACACUUUUUCACCUCACCAUCUGAGCCCGUCAAUGCAAAUGAAGCAACCACAUUGUCGCUUAGCUUUCUGAACCAAUUACCGAGGCAGAUCUCUAGUCGAGCAAGAGAUUUAUACUCAAACAACGUGUGAUCUGACUCAAUAAAUCUGGAUCCUUCAGGUGGAGUAUACAAUGAGUGCAGGCCAGUCUCCACAUAACAAUCAUUCAGAUAACAAACUAAACCAAAGGGUGAAGGUUCUGUACCGGGGUACCCAUCCAUAGCACCCUUGAAAUUGAGAGCAGCACAAAAAGCCAAUCCCAUCAACUUGGUAUUAUACCAAUGUGGAGGCAGCUCUAUAUUUACAGAACACCCUACACUCUGAUGCCUGAACCACUCUGGAAUUCUACUUCCAGGAACCAAAGCAUUAUGUUCAUUGUCUGGAGUAGGGAUCCCCUGCAUCAUGGAAAUCAUUUCUCGCAUGUGAGAAAAUAGUGUAGAAUAAGUAUUCAAAGUUUUAAAAUUAUUUUCUGGGAUUAAAUUUAUUUUUCAGUUUUUUUUUUUAAGCAAAUACUUUUUGUCCUAUACAAUCCCAAAGUAGAAAAACAUACCCAUGGCACCAGAAAUUUUGGUAUUGAUGACAUAAGCUGGAUUCCCUCUAAUAUAGUUCCCACAAUGUCACUGCCUUGAUUCUCUCCUAGCCUAAAGCAUAUAGUGAAAUUAAAUCUGAGAUCCCCGACCUUCUUGGAUGUGUAUGCACUUGAUGAACAUGAGAAGGUUUCCAGGGAUGUGCAACUAUGGGCAUUUAAACUUUCAACACUUGAUGGAAGCUCUGGCAAUGAUUGAAGACUCUUGCAGUAUUCUAAUGUGAGACUUCGCAGCCGAGAAAGUCCACUGAGGCUAGAAGGUAUGGUAAUGAAACUGUUCCUGCUCAGAUCUAACCUUUCCAAUGAGGGUAAGGACCCAAGAUCACUGGGCAAUGCUCCUUCCGAUAGGUUGCAACGUUGUAGAAUUAACACUCUCAAGGAGUAUAAACCCGAGAAAGAAGGCAGUCGCAAUUCUUCUGUUGGUGAUGAGUGGAAAGAGAAGACCAUAUUCCUUGACUUGGAAUCCCCUCCCUUACAUCCUGCUAAUGAUAAUUUUUGAAGGUUUGUCAAAAGAGUAAUAGAGGGUGGAACCUCUUGUAUACCACUUCCAUCUGCAUUCAGCUCUGCUAAACAUUGUAGGCUCCCCAAGUCAUCUGGCAAUUCCUUCAGCUCUGAGCAACCACAGAGAGUAAGAGUCCCAAGAGAUGUCAACUCACAAAAGCUUUGCGGAAGACUUGCAAGUUUUUUACAAUUCUUCAGAUUCAAAAAAACAAGCCCAUUUAGACACCCAAUUGAGGAAGGCAGUUCUAUUAUACCACUCCCAUCUAGAAAAAGCUCCAUCAAACUCUCCAUGUUUUCCUGGAUCUCUGGAAGCUUCUUGAGUCUUGUGCAGUUUGAAAGAAUGAGAGUUUUCAGGGACUUCAACUUAAAAAUGCUUCUGGGUAGUGACUCAAGGCUUUUGCACUCUUUCAGAUUUAACAAAGCAAGUCCAGUGAGAUUUUCAAUGGACAAGGGCAAUCCUUUUAUAGCAGUCCCUUCUAAAGAAAGAUUUGGUAGAUGUUCCAUAUUCCCUUGGACCUCUGGAAACUUCUUCAGUUUUGAGCAGCCAGAGAGAGUAAGAAUUUGAAGGGACUCCAUAUGGAUGCUGCUUGAGAAACUCUUGAGUUUUUUGCAGCCUUCUAAAUUCAGGAAAAUAAGCUUCUUGAGAGCUCCAAUAGAUGGGUGAACCUCGACCAAACUUGUACAACCUUUGAGAAUUAGUCUCCUAAGGUUUGGCACUCCAGAGAAGUCUGGUGUUUUGGUUAGAUGUUGAGAGUGGCUAAGUUUGAUGGAUUUCAACUUCUCAAAUCCCUAUCAAAGAAAAGGGAAAACAAUCCACUUUAAUGGACUUUAUAAUCCAUUUAAAGAAAAAAAUGUACAUAAAUUAUAAUCAUACCUUUUUUUUUCCACUACUACAAAAAAAUGUAAUUUAUGACGCUUUUUUUCUUGACACUUCUAUAAAGUGCCAUUAUUUAUUCUCAAAAAUGGGUAUUAAUGACACUUGCAUUAUCUUGGCGCUUUAAUGGGAGAAAUAAUAACGUUUUUAAAUAAUGGCGCUUUUUAAGCGUCAUUGUACAUUGAAUUUCAAAUAAUGACGCUUUUUUAAGUGUCAUUGUAGGAGAACCUCAACCUUGGCGGUUUUAAAAGCGUCAUUGUACAAUGCAUUUCAAAUAAUGACACUUUUUUAAGUGCCAUUGUAGGAGAACCUCAACCUUGGCGCUUUUAAAAGCGUCAUUUUCUGUUCAUUUUAUAAUUACUCACAUUUUUCAAUUAAAAAAAAAGAGAUAAAUGUAAUAAAGCCUUUUCCAUACCCGAUGCCCACACUCAAGUUUCAUUACCAAAUCUGUCUCUAACUGAACCAGCAAGCUCCAGCCAAUUUCGAUUGAGAAAAUGAAGUUCUUACUCCAAAUCAAGAAGAUAGCAUUCAUGGAUGUUCCACCGAUUUGACUAUUUGGGUGUUGGAUUGAGAGAAAGGAAAUGAAUGGAGAUAUGAGAGAAAGCUAGGGUUUUUUUAGAUUCGUAGGUUGGGAGAGGCAAGAGGCAGCAAAGGCAAGUGCCUUCGGUUGAAGAGGUAAGCAAGGAGGAAAGGUCGAAGAACCAGAGGAACAGAGGAAAGAAAAGAAGGGAGAAGAAAAAACCCAGAAGAGAGAGUUGUUGGGUACGAGCCCAUAUGUUCUCAUUUUCCCAUGGAUUCACAUUCUUCACUAUUGAUUUCUGGGAUUUGAGUGUGAAUGCUUGUAAAUCUGUUGUGGUUUUUGUUUAUUAUCAGUUAUUUUCUUGGUUUGCAUCUCCGAUAAAAAGAUACUAUACCUCUGUUUUUAGGCUCAGUUGUGUCUCUCCUCUGUUUUUGUUCUCUGGUUCUUAUGUUCUCUGGAAGAUUUGGAAAUGGUUUUGGUGUUGUUCCAUUUGUGUACAAUGGUUCAUGCCGAAAGGAGCUUGCUUUCCAUGGAGUUGUAGGUACUGCCUAUAACUUGUUUGAUGAAAUGUCAUUUCGAGAUAUGGGCUCUUGGAAUGCAUAGAAAGUUUUUCAAUAAUUUUUAUUAAGGGAUGUAGUGUCAUGGAACUCAAUAAUUGCUGCCUAUGAGCAGAAUCAUGUGGCUUUCGAAUUAAAUAAAAAAAAAUUUAAGCUUCAUAAUCUGACAUAGGCUUCAUUGCUUAUGUUAUAAAAGAUGCUAUUCAACUUCAUUUUUAAAUGGGUUACACAACAUGUUAUCUAAUUAAUAAUAACGUCAUGUUUGGUUCAUCUAUUCAAUAAACUAAUUGAGAUUUGACACUCCACUUAUGACCACAAACUAGAAUGGUCACCCCCAACAUAAGUAGAACACAUGUCAAGGUGCGGCUUAGCUCUACUUUAGCCUUACUUGGGAAAUCUACCCAAGUCUAAGCCUAAAAACAAAAUGAAAAAAAUAUCAUGAUAUUAUAUUAAUACAAAUUAUAUGUAUCUAUAUUGAUUAUCUAAUUAAUCAAGACUCUAAAAAAUGAGUAACUUUGAUAAAUCAUUUUGGGGGUUGGAGAUGAACCAAUUUUAACAUGAACUUUAUGUAGUGAGUCUUUAAUGGAUUUAGCCAAGUUUGUGAACUUAGGCCUAAAAUGUGAUGCUUAUAAACAAUAUUUUCCUAUUCUCACCAUUGUAAUUGAUAUGAAUAAUUUAUAAUACAUAACUAGAUGUAAUAUUUUAAUAAGUAUUUAUGUUUUAGUUUUAAUCAACUAUGCAUGCAUGAAACCUUAGAAUUCCCAUUCAAGUAUCAUUGUGAGACAAAAGUUUCUCUUAUUACAUACUAAGACAAUAAGUUGUCAAAAUGUGAAAUGUGGGUAUAUUUAAGCCAGUUUCAAGUUGCCAACUACUAAAUUUGUCUUCCAUGUGAUAAAGAUCUUUUCUCUGCAAAUGAUGUUUGAAUUGUCCAGUUGGACAGUAUAGGAAAACAUGAUAUCUAUGAAGUUAAUUGCUUGUUCUUAAUUCAAUUUUUAGAAAAUUGGUAGUCUUUCUUCUUGUUCUCUGGGUGUAUAUUUGGACAAAGUCACAUAUUGUGCCUUAUCCAUUUUGGCUUAUAUUCACAAUGGAUUUUUAUAUGAUAGUGUUUUCUUUUGUGCUGGCUUGAGGGAAAAUGAAUGAAGAUGAGGGAUAGGAGAGAUGAAAAUGUUGAAAAAAAAUAUUAUUAAGAAAUGUUUGUUCUCCUCAUUUUCUUAAGUCUUUUUCAAGAAAAAUGUUAAAGACAUUUUUAACCAUUUUCUUUGUUUAUCUUUAUUUAUUUAUUUAUUUAUUUAUUUAUUUUAUCUUUGUUUCUAACAAUAUAUAUAUAUAUAUAUAUAUAUAUAUAUAUAUAUAUAUAUAUAUAUAUAUAUAUAUAUUAAAUAUUAUGACAUUUGACUUUUAAAUAUCGUUAUUGUGGGAAAAUAUGAAAAAAAAAUAGAGAAAAAAAUGAAAAUAAAAUAAAAUAAAUAGAUUCAAAAUUAAUAAAUUAUUUUUAUAUAUUUCUUUAAAUUAAUUUCAUUUAUUUUCCUUUGUUUAUAUUAAAUUUUUAACUAAUUAAUUAUUUUUUAUUUUAUUCGUAUUUUCCUUAAUUAAACUAAACAUGCCAAAACCUUUUUUUUUAAUAUAUUUUUCCUUCGUACUUUCUGGAUCAAACAUAAUGUAAAGUUUAUUAUUAUUGAGAUUUUUUUCCUUUUUUAAUGAGGUUUCUAAUCUCUUCUUAAGAAACACUAAUAGGCGGGUUGAAUUUAAGCUAAACCCAAGGCAGAGCCAGUCCUUUAAGGGCCAAUUGGACAAAGCCCAACCUAAUUAAUUCAAGGUAAUGUUUGGGUUGAUUUUUUAAGUCCACUCGACCUGCAUUUAAGCUCGGCCCAAUCACUUUAGGGCCAGGGUUGAUUUAAUGUUUUAAGCCUGAGCAGCCCGACCUGAACAUUGGAGCCCUAGCACAGCCUAGUAGAUAGGCGGAAAAGGGCCACAAAAAUAGCUGCAGCCCGACCCAAACAUUGGAAGCCCUAGCACAGCCUACUAAGUAGGCGGAAAAGAGAAAAAAAAAAAACCUGCAUAAUAUGAUAUAGAAGGAAUCAACCAUUAAAAAUGUGUAAAAUAUUUAAGGCCCCAUGUACCCAAAUUAAAUUUAGGCUUAUUACAAAACAAUCAUAUUUUGUUAUAUGCUUAGGCUUUUGCAUGUGGGUUUGCAAUAUGAAUAAUGGUUUGAGUCAAAUAUGAAAAUAUAGAUAAUAACGAAUAUACUAAUACUUUGAUUGUACGGGUAUAUGUAUGAUAUAAUUUAUCAUAUUUAAUACUAAUAUCUUAUAUAUUGAUAAAAAAAUAUGAAUUUUAUAAAUGUAUAUUUAUCAUUAAAUUAAAUAAACUAUUAUUUCAUAAUAAUAUUGUGAUAUUUAAUUAUAAUAUGUCUAAUUUUAAAAUAUAUUUAAUAUUAGAAUUAUGAUUCAUUUAAUUCAAUUAUAUUAAAUGAUAUAAAAUAAAUGAUCUUUUAUAUAUAUAUAUAUAUCUAAUUUGUUUAAUAUUUAUAUUUUUUGUAUUUAAUUAAUAUACAAAUGAUAUAAAAAAAAGUUAAGAAAAUUAUCACCAAAAUUUUUAUAUUUUUAGUGGUCCAUUAAAUUAAAUUUUAAAAUUAAAUUAUUUAUUAAAAUAUUUUGUUUUUUAUUACCGUGCUAGUACAUAUUUUUCUAGUGCACAGUAUAUAUUGUAAGGUGAGUUAGUCUAGUAGUAAGGUUGUGAAUGUUGGUUUUGGCUUAGGUUUGAGUCCCUGUGCCCCAAGCCAAAAUUUAUAAUUUUUACAUUUGACCGCCUAGCCCCAAAAAUUUUGGCGAUGAAAUGUUGUCUCCAACGAUUUUUUUUUUUUUCACUGAUUUAUCGUCGAUUGUCGAAAUUUCAGUAGUUUUUCGUUGAAAUAUGAUGAUUUAUUUUUUGGAAAAAUUGGUCAUUCAAUAUUUUGCCCCUUAUUUCGUUUUCACAACCCUGAAAAAUGAUAUUUCAGCAAAAUUUUAUCAAAAUUAAUGAAAAUUUUCAUCCAUGGUUUGAGCCUAGCUUGUAAACCAAUUGGGCUUUGGAUAAAAUAGAAUAUCUACAUUUUAAGAAUAUUAUUUUUAAUGAAAUAUAUUGUCAUUAGAUGUUGUAUUUAAUGAAAUGAUGUGUUGGGUUGUGGACUUUUGUCCAUGUGAUAGCAUUCGCUUUGUAUUUUUAUUUUUAAAAUUAUGUAUUUACUUACAAAAUUGAUUUUUAUUCAUUUAUUAGACAAUUUGAUUUUAAUUAAAAAAAAAUAUGUUUUUAUGUGAUCUAGAGUCGUCAUUUAUUUUCUUUUCUAUCCUCUCUUCGAACUAAGGUAUUUUCUCUUACUUCUUGCACUUUCACUUCAUGAAUAAGCUCCAAAAAUUAGGAAACCCCCUCCAUUUCCAAUAAUGAGAAGAUCUUUUGAAUUGCACCAGACAUUAACCUUUGUUUCCUCGCCCCAUCCCAUAGGUUUGCAACUAGUUUUUAUGAGAGGCUAAAUGAAAUAGCACAAAAAAUACUUCUUUCAAAUAGUUCUCCUCCACCCGACUGUCCCACUCAAAUUUUGUUUGUCUACCAUUAGUACCUCGAAAAGUUGUCUUGAGGCUAAAACUCUUUUCAACCUUUCCUAAUAAAUUAUUUUUUAUAUGUUUUUUUAAACUCAUUUUACUUAAUUUUCUUUAUUAUAUAAAGAUUAAAUAAUUUUAAAAUACAUAAAUUUUAAUUAUAUUUAAUUUUCUUUAAAAAAAUUUAUGAUGAAACCAAAUAUGAUAAAAUCAUUUUUUUUUUUAAUUUUUUUUCCUUGAUACUUUUUGAAACCAAACAUAACAUUUAGAAAAAAAAAAAAAUUCUAUGAAUCAUUUUUCAAAUAUAAUAUAUAAAGAAACAUAUUUCAUUCAAUCAAUCCUAUGUUCUUCCACCUUCCUGCAAUCAUUUUAUUUAUAGAGUAGCCCAAGUAAUAUUUGAUAUUGAACAUUACUCAAUUCACACAACAUUAAUGUGUCAAGAAGCUGAGGGUGUCAAAUUAUGCUAUAAAAGCAACAAUUCAAUUGAAGUAGACUUUGCUUUAACAUAAUCAAAUUUCAUGAUUCGGCUAUGAACGUAAUACAAUCUAAUCUAAUGAAGUGAUCAAUGACUUGCUCCAUGAUUUGGCUUAUGGGACAAAGAGAUGAGGUGUAAAGAGUAGGGCAAAGGAUAUGUGAAUUGGGAUUUGAUUCAUGUGGGCUGGUCUGGAGGGCUUCGCAAAAGUUGCAGCUGGAAGGUGAUUGAAUUGAAGGGUCAUAAUGAGUUUGGGCUCUCUUCUACCAUAUCUUGCCUAAUGGGACGCGUUAGUUUAAAGGAUCUGUCCGAAAACUAGACUUGUAAAUAAAAUUAUAGACAUUUUUAAGUAAAAAAUUUAUCAUAAAUAUAACAUUACUUUCUUAAUAUUCUUAAAUACAUUCAAACUAAAAAAGUAGGUCAUCAUUUUAGUAUUAAAUGUAUUUUCAAUUACUACAUAUUAUGAUUUAUGGUCACAAAUUUUAUCAUAUAUAUUAUUCUUUUUAAUAGAACAUCUUUAAUAUAUAUAUAUUAUUGUUUAUUUUAUCAUUUCAUUUUUAUAUUUUUUUUAAUAUUUUUAUUAGUUUUGAUUAAUUUUUGUUCUAUCAAUAUUUUUUUUUCAAAUUUCAAUGUGAUAUUUUUUAUAUUACCUGUUAUUUCCAUAAAAAUCAAAUCAUUGAUAUUUCCGUAACUUCCAAUAUUAAUGAGACAGAAAAAGAGAAAUCAUAUUAAAUCAAAGUCAUGAAAAGGAAAAGGGUGAAAGUUAAUGAGAGGAAUAUUACCCUAAUGAUGAUCAUCAGCUACGUGUAAAUUUCUUAUCAAGAGAAAAAGGAGUAGCAGCAACAGAAGAUAAGCAUACGCAUAAUCCCUCCUUUCAUUAUAAAUAUAAAAAAUAAGAAAUACGAAGGAAAAUGGAAUGAGUGAAAGUUAACCUCAUGAGAAUCAUCAAUUGCACAAGAUUACAUAGCAAAAAUUUUCUUAUCAAGAAAAAAUAAAUAAAUAAAGAGAAUUUUUGAUGAAUUGUAUUGUGGCCAACAAGGAUGUGAUGGGUAAUGAUUUGGAUGAAGUAGAUCAUGACUAGUAAAGAGUAUUGGGUAAUUUUAAAAAACUCAUUACUAAGACGCUAAUAAGGUUCAUCAACACUGCCCCUUAGAUGAUAGAUCAUGUUUUAUUAAUUGGUAGAGAAAAAGAUUUUGUCAAUUAUGAGGGGAACUUUCCUUUUUUUUUUUUUUUUCUUUUUACUUCAUUGCACAAAAAAUAUUUUAAAGUAGAAAGAAAAUUUCAUAAUAUUGGAAUGACUUCCAAUAUUAAGCAUGUAUAAUACAUGCAAGAAUUGUGCAAAUAAUAGCACAAUGUAUAACAUAUAAGAGAAAACAAAAACAAAGAUAAAAUGAAAUAUGUUAAUUCCAAAUUUAGCUCUACAGGAGAACACAAUAUGAAAAAGUAAAGAAAGUAGGAUGAUUGGAUAAACAUAAUAAAGAAAGGUUCAAGAUAGUCCCACUAAUUAGAAAAGAAAACCUUUAUUCGAGCUAGGUUCAUGGUCAGUCCAAAUUUGGCUUAAUGCAAAGCGGGACCAUUGUUGAUCUUAUCACCAAUCAUCUAAUCUUUGCAAGCCAAACAUAGUGUCAAUAAUAUUCCAUACUUGUUCUUGUAACGAGGAUCAAGAAUCUUAUCACAUAUGAAUAAGAUAAUAAGAUUAUUUGAGAUCCACCUUUACGAAAAGCUAAGAUCCAACUGUUAGCCCUUUGGUCCCUUGACCUUAAUUUUUUUUAGAAAAAAAAAAAGGGUCUCAUGAGUAUGGACCUUGCACCCAUGGGAACACAUAGGAAAAUGGCAAGCUAUUGGAGGUUUGGAAAAACAUCACAAAAAUAGAAGUGUUGAAGAAGGCAACACUAGGGGUUGGCAUAAGUUGUGCAAGCUUGUGCACCUUGCACGCUAUGCGCACACUCAUGCAUCUCGUGUAUGGUCCCAAACACCUAUGCACAACAUCUUAUGCUCGCGAGCGCUCAUGAUGCUGCACCCACGCACACUUGUCCCCGCAUGCGCAUGACGCACAACAAUAGAUGGCUUAGGCUAAGUUGGUUAAAAAAAGGUUGAAAUUGUGGCUUGCUUGUAUCUUUCGUUUGAAAGUGAGCAUGUAACAGGAGGUUUGGGGGUGGAAUUAUUAUUUUUGGAUUUUUGUAAUAUUUAAUAAAUUCAUUAUGUCUCAUCAAGCAUAUGUGAUGUCACCUCUAAAAAUUUCUAAAAUGGUUUUAAAUGCUCUUUAAGAGAGGGGGAAGCAGGUGACUCAAAAUGGGCACCUAGGCAAGGCUUAGCCAUACAUUCAAGAGGGCAUCAAGGCAUGGCCUUGGGAAAGGUCAUGACACUCAGAUGAGCAUCUAGCAUGAACAAAUUGGCUCCACGACAUGUGUGAUGUGCAACUUAUAGCCACAAUGGCAUAAGGCAUGGUGCAAGCCUCUCCCUCCUUGGUGCUGGCACGAGGACACUCAACCUUGUGCAUUGAGGCAAAUUGAUAAGCCAUGGGUGCAAUGCCAUGACAUGCUGCUGCAAACCAAGACAGACCUUAGACACGACAUGACACCAUUGCAGUAGCAAGGAUGCCUCAGACGAAUGGCUAAUGAGUUACAUAAGGGCACAAUGCCAUGGCAUGAUGUUGCACCAAGAAGGGUCUAGGACAAAAGCAUGGUGUAGUUGCAGCAAGGAGGGAGGUCUUAGAUGCAUGCUUAGCAUAGGGGCACAAUGCCUUAUGCAUGUAGAUGACAAGCCAUGGGCACAAUGCUAUGGUUUAUCACUACAACCAAGAAAGACUUGGGAAUGGCACGAGAAACCACAGUAGUGAUCCAACUAAUGUAGACAUAGUGGUGCAUGGAUGACUCAGGCAAGGCAUGGGAGGGCCUUGCAAAUGAUUGAUUCCUUAGACAUGGACAACAACACCUUGGUGUCAUGGGCGCCUAGACAUGGCACAAAGAUAAGCAUUAGUAUGCACUAAGGCAUCAGAGAGGGUUAGACACACUCCGUUAACCAAGGCAAGAUGUGGAUUGGAUCAGUUGACACACCCACCAGGUGAUUGAUGCGGGCCUCACUUACAAGCAUUAAGGGCAAUGCACUAGAAUAGCAUGGGUCGACUUGCAAACAUGAACCAAACACUAUCUUAGCCUAAUCCACUUAGAGAAUGGGUCAUUUGGCUGAAUUACAAAGGGCAAUUAAAAUGACACCCAUCGGCAAGAGGCGUCCUGAGAGAAGUUACUUGACACCUAUUUAGAAGAGGUACCUUGAUUACAGUACGUAGCCUUGACACAACAUGGAAGGAAUAUGAAGAUAAUUGUUAGCUAUAGAUGGCAUGAAGGAACACCUUGGUUUGAAAGGGUAUCUCUAGUUGGGUGGUUGUAGCAAUUCCACAACCACUACCACAGGCUCCUGAUUUGAAUUCAAGUGUUUGAAUUAUUCUAUUUCGACUUUUUUUUUCUUUGUUUUUUAUACAAUUCAACAAUAAAAUAUUAUACUAUGUUUUUACUAUUUUAAUACAUAUAUGAAUUUAAUCACAUAAAAUAAUUGAAAAAUAUUAAUCUACAAUGAUUAAUGAAAUAAAAUUAUUUGUUAUUUACCAAAUUUAAAAUCAUUAUUAGUCCUUGUUUAUAGCCAAAGGAACAAAAAAAAAAAAUUACAAAUAAAUUUAAAUUGAGUCAAAUAAAAUUUGAUUAUAAAAUAAUAAUAAAAAUUCAAUACAUUAUGUAUUUUUGGAAGAAAAUUCAUUAAAGUAGUAGAAAGACUUGAAAACAUAUUAAAAGGAAGUGAUUACCUCAAAUGAGAGUAUGAUCAACCUUCUUGAAUGAGAGCUUCUGCAACUCGAACCACCUUUAAGCUUUUCAUUGAAAUAUAGAGAAAUUAGAGUAUUUUUCACUAAAUUGUUGCUAUAAUAUCAUAAUAUAUUUGUUUUUAUAAAUUCAUUAAUAGAAUAAAAAAUAGUUGGUCAAUAACAUAUUUCCAAAAUCCACUGUUUGAUUGCUAAAGGUUUGAAGGAGUAUGAGAGGUUAGGAAGCAGCUUACCAAGGGAUUGGACAUGGAGGCGAAAGCAGGAAUCCAAUUUUAGAGGAGCCGAAGGAUCUGAUUCAUCCAUCAGAAGACGCCUCCAUCUCCAUCUCCAUCUCCCGGCCACAUGGUACUGAAAGGAAAACUGCAUCCAUCAUAUUUCCCAUCUUCCUCAUAUACUAUACGAACCCCACACUUUUUCACCUCGCCGUGUGAAGUGACCUCGUCGUCUGAAGUGACCGCGCCUUCUGGGACAAGAAAUAGAAAUGAAGCCAGCAUAUAGUCACUGAGCUCUCCGAACCAAGGAGGGUACGGGGCCUCUAGUUCAGCACGAGAUAUAUACGCAAACCACGUGUGAUCUGACUCAAUAAUCGAUGAAGUCCAUAAUGAAUUGUGGUCGGAUAGCGUAGCAUAAUGACCAUCGAGAAAACAAGCUAAAGGGAAUGUACCAAGGUACCCAUCGACAGCACCCUUGAAGUUGAAAACAACACAAGCAGCCAAUCCCAUCAACUUGGUAUUAUACCAAUGUGGAGGCAGCUCUGCAAUUACCUUAGACCCUUCACUCCGAUGGGUGAACCACUUUGGAAUUCUACUUCCCUGAACAAGAGCUUGAUAUCCAUGUUGUAAUAGCGACCUCUGUAUCAUGAAAAUCAUUGUUGGCACGCAUGUGAGAAAAUAGUGUAGGAUAAGUAUUGAAAGUUUUAAGGAUUAUUUUGUAGGAUUACAUUUAUUUGUAAUUUCUUUUAAUUUUAAGCAAUACUUUUGUUCUACACAAUCCCAAAGUACAAAAACAUACCUCAUCUGGCUCCAGAAGUUUUGCCAUUGAUGACGCAAGCUGAGUUCCCUCUAGUAUAGUUUCCACAAUGUCACUGCCUUGAUUCUCUCCUAGUCUAAAGCAAUUAGUAAAAUUAAAUCUGAGAUCCCCCAACUUCGAUGUGUAUGUACUUGAUGAACAUGAAAGCGUUUCCAGGGAUGCGCAACUAUGGGCAUUUAAAUAUUCAAUACUUGAUGGAAGCUCUGGCAAUGAUCGAAGACUCUUGCAGUGUUCUAAUGUGAGACGUUUGAGCCGAGAAAGUCGACUGAGGCUAGCAGGCAAGGUAAUGAAACUGUUCUUGUCCAGAUAUAAAUUUUCCAAUGAAGAUAAGGAGCUUAGAUCAGUGGGUAGUGCUCCUUCCAACAGGUUGCAGUCACUUAAAUUCAAACUUUUCAAGGAGUAUAAACCCGAAAGAAAAGGCAGUUGCAAUGGUGCUGCUGGUGAUGAGCGGAAAGAGAUCAGAUUCCUUGACUUAGAUCCCCCUCCUUUGCAUCCUGCUAAGGAUAAUGCUUCAAGGUUUGUCAAAAGAUUAAUAGAGGAGGUUACCUCUUUUAUACCAGUUCCAUCUACAUUGAGCUCUGCUAAACAUUGCAGUCUCCCCAGGUCAUCUGGCAAUUUCUUUAGUUUUGAGCAACCAGAGAGAGUUAGAGUCUGAAGAGAUAUCAGUUCACAAAUGCUUUGUGGAAGACUUGCGAGUUUUUCACAAUUCCUCAGAUUCAACAAAACUAGCCUAUUUAGACUUCCAAUUGAUGAAGGCAGUUCUCUUAUAGCAGUCCCUUCAAAAGAAAUGCGUGAUAGAUUUUCCAGGUUUCCUUGGACGACCUCUGGGAACUUCUCAAGUUUUGAGCAGCCUUCUAAAUUCGGGAAAAUAAGCUCCUUGAGAGCCCCAAUGGAUGGGUGAAGCUUGACCAAACUUGUACAACCAUUCAGAAUUAUUCUCCUAAGUUUUGGGGCCGCAGAGAAAUCUGGAGUUUUGGUUAGAUGUUGAGAGUGGCUGAGUUUGAUGAACUUCAACUUCUUGAAUGCCUGUCAAAGAGAGAAAAAAAAGAACAAAUCCACUUUCAUGAACUUUUAAUAAUUUAUUUUUAAAGAAAAAACAAUGAAUAUAAAUUAUAGUUAUAAUCAUACCUUCUUUCCUUCCCAUAGUUGUUUAAGCAGACUAUAGCACAUGUUUAGCUCAACAAGCUUCUCUGGAUGAAAAUUUGAUGGAAGGGACUUCAAAGGGUAUCCAUGCCAAUGAAGAGAUCUUAAGUUGUUGGAUGGAAAUUUAAAAUCUAUAGAUAGAUGCAAUUUACUAUCAUUGUAUGGAGAGUUAUCAUAGCCCAUCCAUCUCCAAGCAUCAUGAGUACUAGCAAUUAACUCUUUCUUGGAUAAGUAUUCAGAUCUUCCAUAAAAUUGAAAAUUAUAGAAUCUGAGCAAUCUUAAUUUGUUCAUCUUUGCAAAGGCAUCAACACUGAGGUUUAGCUCUUUCGAUGCAGACAAGUCAAAGACCAUGCCUUCAACUGCUUCAGUCCCCUAAAGUUAACCAAGACCAGAGCAUGAGAUAGAAGUAAGAAUGAAAAAAUUGGGAAGAAAACAACUUAAUGACCUUUUUGCCUUUUCAUUUUUUUUUUUUCAAUUUUUAAGUGUGAUUGGAGGAAUGAAGUUUGAACACAAGAAAACACAUCUUUUAAGGUGGCAACUCUUAUUUGUUAGUAAAAUUGUAAAGAUCUAUGAGUUUU
RNAcentral lists this long non-coding RNA (34666 nucleotides) under Vitis vinifera (wine grape). RNAcentral's name for it is "long non-coding RNA (VVIN_LNC006245)". The record is from RNAcentral. Lineage: Eukaryota; Viridiplantae; Streptophyta; Magnoliopsida; Vitales; Vitaceae.